GGAUCCGUAGCUCAGGCAGGAUAGAGUGCUUCGCUUCGGACGAAGAGGUCGUGGGUUCGAAUCCCACCGGGUCCG
This 75-nucleotide transfer RNA is filed under the name Candidatus Iainarchaeum sp. Its description in RNAcentral is "tRNA-Arg". It matches the Rfam family "tRNA". From Rfam's summary of the family: Transfer RNA (tRNA) molecules are approximately 80 nucleotides in length. Lineage: Archaea; Nanobdellati; Candidatus Iainarchaeota; Candidatus Iainarchaeia; Candidatus Iainarchaeales; Candidatus Iainarchaeaceae. The record is from RNAcentral.